RNAcentral lists this ribosomal RNA (401 nucleotides) under uncultured bacterium. RNAcentral's name for it is "bacterial SSU rRNA". It matches the Rfam family "Bacterial small subunit ribosomal RNA", at positions 355 to 773 of the family's 1533-position model. The record is from RNAcentral.
UGGGGAAUAUUGGACAAUGGGCGCAAGCCUGAUCCAGCAAUGCCGCGUGGGUGAAGAAGGUUUUCGGAUUGUAAAGCCCUUUUGGCAGGGACGAUGAUGACGGUACCUGCAGAAUAAGCCCCGGCUAACUUCGUGCCAGCAGCCGCGGUAAUACGAAGGGGGCUAGCGUUGCUCGGAAUGACUGGGCGUAAAGGGCGCGUAGGCGGCCUGUACAGUCAGAUGUGAAAUUCCUGGGCUCAACCUGGGGACUGCAUUUGAUACGUGCGGGCUUGAGUGGAGAAGAGGGUCGUGGAAUUUCCAGUGUAGAGGUGAAAUUCGUAGAUAUUGGAAAGAACACCGGUGGCGAAGGCGGCGACCUGGUCUUUAACUGACGCUGAGGCGCGAAAGCGUGGGGAGCAAAC